Molecule: ribosomal RNA, 511 nt
Filed under: uncultured bacterium
Lineage: Bacteria
Description: bacterial SSU rRNA
Rfam family: Bacterial small subunit ribosomal RNA
Source: RNAcentral
CGACUGAGUACGAGUUUGAGUCCUCGGCGUCAGGACGAACGGCUGGCGGCGUGCUUAACACAUGCAAGUCGAACGGAGUACCUUGAUUGAGGCUUCGGCCAAUUUCUUGGACUACUUAGUGGCGGACGGUGAGUAACACGUGAGUAACCUGCCCUUGAGUGGGGAAUAACACACCGAAAGGUGUGCUAAUACCGCAUAACAUAACGGAAUCGCAUGUUUCUGUUAUCAAAGAUUUAUUGCUCAAGGAUGGGCUCGCGGCCGAUUAGAUAGUUGGUGAGGUAACGGCUCACCAAGUCGACGAUCGGUAGCCGGACUGAGAGGUUGAACGGCCACAUUGGGACUGAGACACGGCCCAGACUCCUACGGGAGGCAGCAGUGGGGAAUAUUGCACAAUGGGGGAAACCCUGAUGCAGCGACGCCGCGUGAAGGAUGAAGGUCUUCGGAUCGUAAACUUUUGUCUUCAGGGACGAUAAUGACGGUACCUGAGGAGGAAGCCACGGCUAACUACGUG